UUUGGUAUAAUGUUAUAGUUGUGGUAAUAUUUACAAAUUUUGCAAAAUAAGCAAGUGGUUAUAAAAUAUUCGAUUGGUCGGGAAAUAUUCGUUUUAACAAGGAAUAUUCGUACGACGGUACAAUCAUUGGUGGACCCCAUAACGGAAGUAUUAUCGGAGUUAGAAAACGACAUAAAUAUCUUUUAUAAAAAUAACGGCGAAAGUUUU
Molecule: long non-coding RNA, 207 nt
Filed under: Panax ginseng (ginseng)
Lineage: Eukaryota; Viridiplantae; Streptophyta; Magnoliopsida; Apiales; Araliaceae
Description: long non-coding RNA (PGIN_LNC017362)
Source: RNAcentral